RNAcentral lists this ribosomal RNA (1102 nucleotides) under uncultured Cladosporium. RNAcentral's name for it is "eukaryotic LSU rRNA". The stretch from base 476 to 1102 matches the Rfam family "Eukaryotic large subunit ribosomal RNA", at positions 1 to 649 of the family's 3401-position model. Lineage: Eukaryota; Fungi; Ascomycota; Dothideomycetes; Cladosporiales; Cladosporiaceae. The record is from RNAcentral.
AGGGAUCAUUACAAGUGACCCCGGUCUAACCACCGGGAUGUUCAUAACCCUUUGUUGUCCGACUCUGUUGCCUCCGGGGCGACCCUGCCUUCGGGCGGGGGCUCCGGGUGGACACUUCAAACUCUUGCGUAACUUUGCAGUCUGAGUAAACUUAAUUAAUAAAUUAAAACUUUUAACAACGGAUCUCUUGGUUCUGGCAUCGAUGAAGAACGCAGCGAAAUGCGAUAAGUAAUGUGAAUUGCAGAAUUCAGUGAAUCAUCGAAUCUUUGAACGCACAUUGCGCCCCCUGGUAUUCCGGGGGGCAUGCCUGUUCGAGCGUCAUUUCACCACUCAAGCCUCGCUUGGUAUUGGGCAACGCGGUCCGCCGCGUGCCUCAAAUCGACCGGCUGGGUCUUCUGUCCCCUAAGCGUUGUGGAAACUAUUCGCUAAAGGGUGUUCGGGAGGCUACGCCGUAAAACAACCCCAUUUCUAAGGUUGACCUCGGAUCAGGUAGGGAUACCCGCUGAACUUAAGCAUAUCAAUAAGCGGAGGAAAAGAAACCAACAGGGAUUGCUCUAGUAACGGCGAGUGAAGCAGCAAUAGCUCGAAUUUGAAAUCUGGCGUCUUCGACGUCCGAGUUGUAAUUUGUAGAGGAUGCUUCUGAGUAACCACCGACCUAAGUUCCUUGGAACAGGACGUCAUAGAGGGUGAGAAUCCCGUAUGCGGUCGGAAAGGUGCUCUAUACGUAGCUCCUUCGACGAGUCGAGUUGUUUGGGAAUGCAGCUCUAAAUGGGAGGUAAAUUUCUUCUAAAGCUAAAUAUUGGCCAGAGACCGAUAGCGCACAAGUAGAGUGAUCGAAAGAUGAAAAGCACUUUGGAAAGAGAGUUAAAAAGCACGUGAAAUUGUUAAAAGGGAAGGGAUUGCAACCAGACUUGCUCGCGGUGUUCCGCCGGUCUUCUGACCGGUCUACUCGCCGCGUUGCAGGCCAGCAUCGUCUGGUGCCGCUGGAUAAGACUUGAGGAAUGUAGCUCCCUCGGGAGUGUUAUAGCCUCUUGUGAUGCAGCGAGCGCCGGGCGAGGUCCGCGCUUCGGCUAGGAUGCUGGCGUAAUGGUCGUAAUCCGCC